Molecule: long non-coding RNA, 330 nt
Filed under: Elaeis guineensis (African oil palm)
Lineage: Eukaryota; Viridiplantae; Streptophyta; Magnoliopsida; Arecales; Arecaceae
Description: long non-coding RNA (EGUI_LNC079880)
Source: RNAcentral
UAUGGCAUUCACAAUUUGUUCGUUAAUAUUAAUAUUUACAUCUUCAUGCAAAUGAUGAAGUCCAUCACUUAAGAAGGCACGUGCAACAAUUUUAUUUCUAAAAUAAAUUUCACAGAAGUCGUUAUUAAAAUAAAAUUUAUAAUUAUCCUGUACCAGCAUAAAUAUAGAAACUAAGUUUCUACUGGCUCUAGGUAAUCUUUUAAAAGCAAAUUAAUUCCUAACGAUAAUUGCAAAGGAUAAAUUCUGAUGGCUACAACAGCAACUCUUACCCCAUUGCCGACUCAAAGAGUAAUCUCGCCUUCCCUUAGCCCUCUAACUUCUUUCAGACCC